CCUACGGGAGGCAGCAGUGAGGAAUAUUGGUCAAUGGACGAGAGUCUGAACCAGCCAAGUAGCGUGAAGGAUGACUGCCCUAUGGGUUGUAAACUUCUUUUAUAAAGGAAUAAAACGAGGCACGUGUGCCUUUUUGCAUGUACUUUAUGAAUAAGGAUCGGCUAACUCCGUGCCAGCAGCCGCGGUAAUACGGAGGAUCCGAGCGUUAUCCGGAUUUAUUGGGUGUAAAGGGAGCGUAAAUGGGUUGGUAAGUUCGUUGUGAAAGGUUGCGGCUCAACCGUAAAAUUGCAAUUGAGACUGGCAGUCUUGAGGACAGGUGAGGUAGGCGGAAUGCGUGGUGUAGCGGUGAAAUGCUUAGAUAUCACGAAGAACCCCGAUUGCGAAGGCAGCUUACUAAACUGUGACUGACAUUGAUGCUCGAAAGUGUGGGUAUCAAACAGGAUUAGAUACCCGAGGAGUC
Molecule: ribosomal RNA, 460 nt
Filed under: uncultured bacterium
Lineage: Bacteria
Description: partial 16S ribosomal RNA
Rfam family: Bacterial small subunit ribosomal RNA
Source: RNAcentral